Entelurus aequoreus (snake pipefish) is the source of this 1137-nucleotide long non-coding RNA. RefSeq lists it as uncharacterized. The record is from RefSeq and is a predicted model, not a curated record. Lineage: Eukaryota; Metazoa; Chordata; Actinopteri; Syngnathiformes; Syngnathidae. The transcript is spliced from 8 exons.
UGGUGGUAAAACGCUGGCUACAUAUUGCAUGUACCUUGGAGUAAAUGGUCGUGUCCAUGACUUCGCCAUCUCUGUACCAGGUGAUCUCAGCGGCCGGUUUGGCCCCCGAGGAUCUGCAGCACUUGCAAGCCAAGCGUGCCACCCCUGAUGAGGGCGUCCAUCUCCCCGACCAAUAAGGAGCGGCGUGAGCGUAGGAAAAUCACUCCUGGCGAUUAAACAAAUUACUUCCUACCACCUGGGAGUUGUGUGUCUACAGGAAACAAUAAAAGUUGCAGGUCAGUUGUCGAGGAAACCGAAACCACAGGUAACCAUUCGUUGCUUUUGCAUUUUUAUCUGCGACUUUUGUCAGGGACAGAAUGAGCAUAUUUAAUAAUCAAGGAUUUUUGAUUGCCGACUAAUAAUUCUAUUUUUUAUACGAUAUGUUAUACUCUUUUCUAACAGAGCGACUGCGAUAAUCCAGGUGUAAGUCUUGAGUACAAUAAAGCUGCACAUGACAAUAUUUCUUCUUUUUAGUAAUAUGAAGAACACGGUGGAGACAGACUUGAUGAGUUGGUCGACAUAAACAAGACCAACAUAAAUUAACAUGAGGCUACUCCACCCGCGAGAAUUGUGGAAAACUUUUCCAUUACAUUCCCCACGACUCGGAAAGAAGACAAGUAUGGGAAGUGAAGGUUCGCCAUCAACACUGAAGAGCCACCAAUUACAACGUCUUGUGCCAGGACGCAUCCAGCAAAGGCCUCCGGUUUGGAGCUGUGACAAACAAGUGGAGCGUCGCAAGGCUCCAUAAGCCCAUCUGGUGCGAUGAUCGAUCAUUAGAUUGAGAGUGCGGCGAUAACUUCUCACUUUGCCUGCUGGCUACCACUGAUCCCAUAUCGCCCUGGCAGGAUACGUACCCCCCUCCUCGCUCCCCCCCCAGAGAGGAGUCUGAUGGCGUGUGGGACCAAGGAGUUUUUUAGUCUAUUAGUCCUGCACUUGGGACUCGCCUACCAAUCAUGAGCAGUAAUCUCCAUCAUGAAAAUUAAGGUGUUUGCAAAGGGGAAUGGAGGAGUAAACACGUUUGUGUUGACGGCCCAGCCUGAGGUGAAGAUGUCUCCAGGCAGAAGACAGGAAGCUGACACGGCGCCACCUCCAUUGUCC